GGAAGAUGGGGGUGGUGAUGCGGGCGAUCUUGGCCGCCUGGGGGAAGGCGCCGCCGUUAGUCUUGUAGAAGGUGGCGAAGGAGCGGUACCUCUCCAUCUCCGAGUUGUAAUCCACAAGGCUGUUGAGGGCCCCCUCGGGCAGAUGCUCUACCUGAAUAGUUCAGAUAUUUCCAGCAUCUUUUCUGAUGUAGUGCUAUCGAUCAGAAACGCUCACUCGGGAGGCAGUCGUGGGGCUACGUCUAGUUUCCAGACUCCGCCCAACCUACCGAGUGCAAAAACUUCGUCUUCUCCCAACGUCGUGCACUAAAAAGCGGGCUUUAUGUAAACAAAUCCAGAUGAAGGGAGCGUAAAUCUACAGAAGGAACCUCACCCCCGGCUGCACUGGGGACCGGCGGGCGUCUUUCCGUCGGGGAAAAAAAAAAAAAAAAAAGACCCCGAGCCCGCAGGAGCCACCUCUGUGUUUCCACGUCAGGGAAAAACCCAGACUCUGCUGCCUUCAGAGGUCUAGUGGCAAUACAAAGGCUGCCCCGGAAAGCUCUAGGCUAAGCAUCGUCUCGUGGAGGGAUGCGAAGGAUUUGCAUAUAGCAAAAGAAAAAAAAAAACCCUCUCCCGUUUCCAGAAAGGAAAACGUAGCUGCAUAUCCUCGAUAACAACUACUCAAUAAAACUAGUUUUGCCAGCCAUGUGUAUGAAAGCCCCGCAUCUGGUAAGGAAUAAAACGUUAGCGUUCAGCCUUUUAUGCCAGAAGUCAUACGCAUUUUCUUGCCCUGUUCCCCCCAGCGUUAAAGUGGUUUCUCUCCAGAAGAGCUUCUCUCGCUGGCUACCUUUUCUCUCCCCGCGAUCCCCUCUCAGGGUUUAUUGCCACCAGCAGCGAGAAAAUGAUGGUGCCCACCAACCGGGUCAUUAUUGUUUAAUCGAUGCAUCUCCGGAGCAUGAAAAGGGUACCCGAGACGCAGUUAUUGAUUUCCCUCCCCCACUAACUAUCGCUCUCUUUUCUGCGAAUGAAAUAAAUAAAUAGAAAUUGCUAGCCGGGCUUUGCGAUUCUGUCCCUGCUUAAGCUAAAUGUGACCGUACAUGUUCAAUGUU
Molecule: long non-coding RNA, 1085 nt
Organism: Neopelma chrysocephalum (saffron-crested tyrant-manakin)
Lineage: Eukaryota; Metazoa; Chordata; Aves; Passeriformes; Pipridae
Exons: 3
Source: RefSeq, a predicted model, not a curated record